CUCAUUCUUGUCGGUCGUUCAUUCUUCUCGCUCAAUCAGAAAGAAAGAAACAAAGAAACAAAGAAAGAAACAAAAUGCUGUUCUCCACCGUCUUCGGCGCUGUUGCGCUCCUCGCUGCUGAGGCCUCCGCCCAUGGUGCUGUUACCUCCUAUGUGAUUGAUGGAACCACCUAUCCCGGCUACGAAGGUUUUGCCCCCGCUACCUCCCCCAAAACCAUCCAACGCCAAUGGCCCGACUACAAUCCCACCAUGACCGUGACCGACCG
RNAcentral lists this unclassified non-coding RNA (265 nucleotides) under Hevea brasiliensis (rubber tree). Lineage: Eukaryota; Viridiplantae; Streptophyta; Magnoliopsida; Malpighiales; Euphorbiaceae. The record is from RNAcentral.